CACCUAUUGUAUUCACCACCACAUUCCCUCUGUCCUUGGUGGUUCACCAUCUCUAAAGAGUUGACUCUAGGUCAACUUCCGUGUGUGGAACUUAUUAUCUACUUACUGCAGAAGGCAGAGAGUGAGCUGGUGACUCUGUGGUGGUUGGCUGCCUACAAGGGUCAAAUCACAACAAUCCUUUUGACAUGAGAAAGAGCCCUGCCUCUGAAUCAAGGAGACAAGAAAGUCCUGCUGAGUCUUUGUAUCAAGAUGGUUUCUGAUCUUCUAUUCCUUCCAGGAUCUCAACCUUCUGCCCUGGUCCCUAGUAUUUGGAUGGAGGAAUGUCUAAUCUUAAGGUAAUUCAUUUUGCUUGCACACCUUACAUGUAGUAUUACCAAGGACAUUAGCACAUUCCCACUUAUUUUUCCUUCCAUGUUACCAGACAGAGCACCAGGGCACAUAUCCUGGCAGUUUAAAUGAG
RNAcentral lists this long non-coding RNA (460 nucleotides) under Gallus gallus (chicken). RNAcentral describes it as "lncRNA (ENSGALG00010025977.1)". Lineage: Eukaryota; Metazoa; Chordata; Aves; Galliformes; Phasianidae. The record is from RNAcentral.